RNAcentral lists this ribosomal RNA (406 nucleotides) under Clostridioides difficile. RNAcentral describes it as "bacterial LSU rRNA". It matches the Rfam family "Bacterial large subunit ribosomal RNA", at positions 1 to 407 of the family's 2925-position model. Lineage: Bacteria; Bacillati; Bacillota; Clostridia; Peptostreptococcales; Peptostreptococcaceae. The record is from RNAcentral.
UGGUCAAGUUAUUAAGGGUGCAGGGCGGAUGCCUUGGCACUAGGAGCCGAUGAAGGACGUGAUAAGCUGCGAUAAGCUUCGGGGAGUUGCACGUAAACUUUGAUCCGAAGAUUUCCGAAUGAGGAAACUCACUUAGAGUAAUGUCUAAGUAUCAUUAAGUGAAUACAUAGCUUAAUGAGGGGAACUCAGGGAACUGAAACAUCUAAGUACCUGAAGGAAGAGAAAGAAAUUCGAUUCCGUAAGUAGCGGCGAGCGAACGCGGAUUAGCCCAAACCAAUGAAGUUUUCUUUAUUGGGGUUGCGGACAUAUCAUAACGAAGAGGUAUCGUAAUUGAAGAGGUUUGGAAAGACCCACCACAGAAGGUAAUAGUCCUGUAUGUUAAACGAGAAGACUUUAGAUAUGAUCC